AUAUAAUAACAUAAAGCAAAUAGAACGAGAUGUAAAUGAUAUCUAUGUAAGU
Molecule: non-coding RNA, 52 nt
Filed under: Trypanosoma brucei brucei
Lineage: Eukaryota; Euglenozoa; Kinetoplastea; Trypanosomatida; Trypanosomatidae
Source: RNAcentral